UGGGGAAUAUUGCACAAUGGGCGCAAGCCUGAUGCAGCCAUGCCGCGGGUAUGAAGAAGGCCUUCGGGUUGUAAAGUACUUUCAGCGGGGAGGAAGGGAGUAAAGUUAAUACCUUUGCUCAUUGACGUUACCCGCAGAAGAAGCACCGGCUAACUCCGUGCCAGCAGCUGCGGUAAUACGGGGGUUGCAAGCGUUUAUCGGAAUUACUGGGCGUAAAGCGCACGCAGGCGGUUUGUUAAGUCAGAUGUGAAAUCCCCGGGCUCAACCUGGGAACUUCAUCUGAUACUGGCAAGCUUGAGUCUCGUAGAGGGGGGUAGAAUUCCAGGUGUAGCGGUGACAUGCGUAGAGAGCUGGAGGAAUACCGGUGGCGAAGGCGGCCCCCUGGACGAAGACUGACGCUCAGGUGCGAAAGCGUGGGGAGCAAACAGG
This 429-nucleotide ribosomal RNA is filed under the name Chloroflexota bacterium. RNAcentral's name for it is "Chloroflexi bacterium partial 16S ribosomal RNA". It matches the Rfam family "Bacterial small subunit ribosomal RNA", at positions 355 to 776 of the family's 1533-position model. Lineage: Bacteria; Bacillati; Chloroflexota. The record is from RNAcentral.